UGAGGACAGGAAUUAAUACACAGGAGGCGAGUGGGUGAGAGUGAGAAGCAAAUAGCAGCAGAUGAAGGGAGGACCUGGAGUCAAGCAGACAAUUAGCAGAAAGUCUGCAGAGAAGAGAUAUAAAAAUAAUUAGGGCCUGAAAUGAAGACAGUACACAGGAUUCUCUGAUUUUGUCCACCUGCUUUGUGUGUCAACACCACAUAUCCAGGUGACAAAACUCGACAUGCAAUCCCAUCGUGACCCAGGCCGACUUAAGUGAAGGACACUAAAGACUGCACUGGAAAUCUCUGUGAUUGCUUCCCUCAGGGAAAAAGAAUACUGUAAUUUUUUUGUGUUUUAGAUUUUGCCUCAAGUUGUGAAUAAAGCGACUUUUGAUCAA
Molecule: long non-coding RNA, 379 nt
Organism: Neopsephotus bourkii (Bourke's parrot)
Lineage: Eukaryota; Metazoa; Chordata; Aves; Psittaciformes; Psittacidae
Exons: 2
Source: RefSeq, a predicted model, not a curated record